RNAcentral lists this ribosomal RNA (472 nucleotides) under uncultured bacterium. RNAcentral describes it as "bacterial SSU rRNA". It matches the Rfam family "Bacterial small subunit ribosomal RNA", at positions 28 to 507 of the family's 1533-position model. The record is from RNAcentral.
GACGAACGUUGGCGGUGCGCUUAAUGCAUGCAAGUCGAGGGAGAAGCAUCCGUUCCGUAAGGAUCAGAUGUGGAAACCGGCGAACGGGUGCGUAACACGUGAGAAACCUGCCCCCUUGACCCGGGAUAGCCCGAGGAAACUCGGAUUAAUACCGGAUACUCUCUUUGGACCGCAUGGUCCGUUGAGGAAACAGUCCGCUGCUAGGGGAUGGUCUCGCGGCCUAUCAGGUAGUUGGUGAGGUAACGGCUCACCAAGCCGACGACGGGUAGCUGGUCUGAGAGGACGAUCAGCCACACUGGAACUGAGACACGGUCCAGACUCCUACGGGAGGCAGCAGCAGGGAAUAUUGCACAAUGGGCGAAAGCCUGAUGCAGCGACACCGCGUGCGGGAUGACGGCCUUCGGGUUGUAAACCGCUUUCAGGAGGGAAGAAAAUGACGGUACCUCCAGAAGAAGCUCCGGCCAACUACGUG